UUUGGAUUUGUGUUGGUAGCUGUUUGCAAUUCAAAUUAGUUUGUCAAGUGGUUUCAGAUUCUUCAAUCAGGGUCCUGAAGUUAACCUGGGGACACUGAGUGAAGGCUGUAAUUGCAAAGAUGUUUUCACAUGGGUGAAUUGGAAGCACUAUCGAUGAAAAGCAAACGACGGAAUAGGGCCCUGGAUUGCUGUGGCUGAAUGGAAGGGAAAAUGAAACAAGCUGAAGACUAUAGGAUGUCAACUGUGAAUAUAUCAAGCAACUCACAAGCUGCCAUAUUGAUGUGACAUGAUGAAGUGGGAAGGAAAGCCAUCUGGAGUUUCACUGGUGAAUUGAUACAUCUUGCACUUACCAUUGUGUAUCCCCCGGACUUUGAUCAAAUGGACAUGGGCCUUCUGAUCUGCAGAGUGCCUGGAAAUUCAGCCUCAAAACCUUCCUUAUGACCUAAUGGUUUCCUGCACAGGCAUCUGGAUAUCCACAGCCUGCUCCAAAUUCUGCUGUGAAAUGUUCAUAUCUUUGAUGAGGUCACCUGCACAAAGGCAUCAGGAAGUUGCGGAGUGAGAUGAUGUUAGUUCCAGACCACAGUCCACCUUGCACUGACCCUGUAAUCUUGUAGCAAAAAAAAUCAUGGGUGUUUACAAUUGUCCAUACCCUUUGACCUAGCAAUUAUAUCUCUUACAUCUAUCCUAGAGAAAUAAUUGUAGAUAUGCCCAAAGGUUUGGUUAUAAGGAUGUUUAUGACCACAAUUUUUACAAGAAAAAAAAUAUUGUUUAAGGCCUGCUCAGUGGCCUGUUUUUGUUUCCCCCACAUUCAUAUGUUAAAGCCCUAACCCCCAAUGUGAUAGUGUUCAGAAGUGGGAGCCUUUGGGAGGUGACUAGGUUUAGAUGAUGUAAUGAGGGUAGAGCCCUCAUCUCCCUCUCUUCCUCUUUCUGUAAUAUGAGGUGGGAAGAUACAGCAAGAAACAUCUGCAAGCCAGGAGAGUGUCCUCACCAGGAACCUUGAUUUUGGACUUCCUAGCCUCCAGAAUUGUGAGAAAUAAAUAUCUAUUGUUCAAGCCACCCAGUCUGUAGUAUUUUGUUAUAAUAGUCAGAGCUAAGACGUAUAUGAUAAAAUACUAUACAUCAGUGGGGCUCAAACCAGAAAGCUUGUUAAAUAAAACACAGAUUGCUGUUCCUCCCCACCCCCUCAGAGUUUCUGAUUCAGUAAAUCUAGGAUGGGGUCUAGGAAUUUGUAUUUCUAUCAAGUUCCCAGGGGAUGGUGAUGCUGCUGAUAUUUGGACCACACUUCAGGAAGCACUGCUAUACAGGAAUAUGUGAUGACAUAAUCUCUUUAUAUUAUUACCCUUAAAAG
Long non-coding RNA from Cercocebus atys (sooty mangabey), 1348 nucleotides. RefSeq lists it as uncharacterized. The transcript has 3 exons. The record is from RefSeq and is a predicted model, not a curated record. NCBI's taxonomy places the organism in Eukaryota, Metazoa, Chordata, Mammalia, Primates, Cercopithecidae.